This 789-nucleotide unclassified non-coding RNA is filed under the name Drosophila pseudoobscura pseudoobscura. RNAcentral's name for it is "GA32807". The record is from RNAcentral. Lineage: Eukaryota; Metazoa; Arthropoda; Insecta; Diptera; Drosophilidae.
CGUCAAAGAUACGCGUAGAACAAGUAGCCCAGACGACGCCCACAACCAGAGCCGCUACCAUAUCAAAAUCAGAAUCAAUUCAAAGCGAAUCGAAUCGAAUCGAGUCGCCCCCAACCAAGCAGUUUCGCUGUGAUAUUUAUGCCACAACUUCUAGACACGAUACUCGGCCGAGUAUUGAAUGUCGUUGGGUCUAAUCGAAUGCCAAUUAGAGGUAAUCAGUGGACGGCAUAUUUGGACCGGCUGUAAUUUAUAAAGACAUCAGAUCAGUGGGUUCAAUCCUCCCUCGCCUCGAAUCAAGGUCAGGGACUGAGGGCUAUUGUUGGACCCUUUUUUUGCUGCCGGACCGGAAAUGCAAACAGAAAAAGUCGCUCUCUCUCUCUGACAUGGAUAUGAGCGUUUCUCCAUCUCCAGCGGAAGUUCAUCGAGUGGCUCCAUCAAAUCUUUGCAUUCCCAUUACCUCUUUCCUGUUUUCCUCUGGCCGUGGAAGCCUUUCCUGGGUCGCCUUCGCCUCGACCUCGAUGCAGUAGCAGCUUGACUUAUGAAUAUCUUUCGUGUAUUUUUUCUUUUCAGUAUUUCUUUUUAUGGUUUUUUGUUGUUUUUUUUUGUUGUAUUUUUGCUGCUGCUUUUUCUUGCUUUGAUCCAGUAUUUACAAGCGUGUUUAAUCGUAAUCGCCAGAGAGCAAUUCGCUCGUGUGCACAAUGUUAACGGAGUUUAUUCCUUGCUUUUUUGUUAGUCUUGGGAGAAACAUAUAUAUGUAUGAUAUCAUGUUUAAAAACAUAUCUGCAUCUA